AUUGAACGCUGGCGGCAGGCCUAACACAUGCAAGUCGAGCGGAUGAAGGGAGCUUGCUCCUGGAUUCAGCGGCGGACGGGUGAGUAAUGCCUAGGAAUCUGCCUGGAAGUGGGGGAUAACGUCCGGAAACGGGCGCUAAUACCGCAUACGUCCUGAGGGAGAAAUUGGGGGAUCUUCGGACCUCACGCUAUCAUAUGAACCUAGAUCGGAUUAGCUAGUUGGUGGGGUAAAGGCCUACCAAGGCGACGGACCGUAACUGGUCUGAGAGAAUGAUCAGUCAGACUGGAACAGAGAAACGUUCCAGACUCUUAGGCGGAGCAACAGUGGAGAAUAUUUGAGAAUGGACGAAUGCGUGAUCCAGCAAAACUGAGUGUGGGAUGAAGGUCUUAGGAUUGUAAAGCACUGUAAGUUGGGAGGAAGGGAAGUAAGUUAAUACCUUACUAUUUUGACGUUACCAACAGAAUAAGCGCCGGCUAACUUCGUG
Molecule: ribosomal RNA, 484 nt
Filed under: uncultured bacterium
Lineage: Bacteria
Description: partial 16S ribosomal RNA
Rfam family: Bacterial small subunit ribosomal RNA
Source: RNAcentral